Long non-coding RNA from Zingiber officinale, 2881 nucleotides. RefSeq lists it as uncharacterized. NCBI's taxonomy places the organism in Eukaryota, Viridiplantae, Streptophyta, Magnoliopsida, Zingiberales, Zingiberaceae. The record is from RefSeq and is a predicted model, not a curated record. The transcript has 12 exons.
CGAUGCCUCCACCACUUUCCUCCUCGCCGCCGUCUGUCCAACCAUCUCUCUCAGCUUCAUCUCCCUCUUCCCCUUCUUAGAUCGAUGCCUCUUCCUCUCUCGAUCAGGAUUGACUCACGACGCAUCUCCUUCACCUCCUCCCUUUGGGUAAGAAGAGGAGCCCUUCUUCGCAUUUCGAGAAAGGAGAGGUGACGAGUUGGUCUUGCUUUCUAGGGUUUCAGAGUAGUAGCUGCGGAGGGAGGCAAGCUGAAGACGACCAGGGGGAAAGGAACCUCACCGCUACCCUCUUUCCUCUCUUCCUCUCGAUCUUUGCCGCAAAGAUGCUCUUCUUCUCGUACUUCAAGGAGUUGGUAGGUAAAGAAGUGAUGGUGGAGCUGAAAAACGAUCUCGCCAUCAGAGGAACCCUCCACUCCGUCAACCAAUACCUCAACAUCAAACUUGAGAACAUCAAAGUCGUAGACGAAGACAAAUACCCUCACAUGGAUCACUCUCGCCUCCGCUUUACAGCUUCCUUCUCACUCUCGCCAAUCGCCAUGGAGUUUUGGAGCCAUUGUUGCAGAAGUUUUAACAUGUGGAUCGACAUCAUUAGUUCAAAAGUAAUAACUCCUUUCGGAGACAAACAAAAAAAGGGAAGAAAAAACUUCUCAUCCCUUUGUUCUCUUCUCAUUCUUCUUCUUCACUUGUUUACCUUCAAUCCUUUUUUUUCAGUGUGAUCUGUGUGGUUCUACAUGUUUUUACUGUCACUUUACUUCUCAGCAUCUUUUCCUUGGUCGUGAUCGUUUGAGCGAAUCUUUUUUCCAUCAUCGUCGCAAGAGAUCCUAAUGUAUAUGCAAUACAACUUUUUAUUUUCUUUGUAGACGAUUAAUCUAGCGGUAAUUUGCACUCCUGCUGUUUAUCACACCCGCCCACUAGACACCAUCUUCAGUAAUUUCAUUGAUGCUCUCCCAGUUGUGAGUUUUGAGAUUCUAGAAAGAAAAAUUAAAAAAAAAUCUGAUGAUAUAUUUUUAUUUAUUGUUUUAAGUACUAGUAUUUUGCUCUGACAUUAAACCACCACAAAUAAUCAUGUUGGUUAUUUCUCAUCAUGUUUUGUUUUAAGGCUCAAAUUUUUGUUAAUUAAUAUUAUAACUUUAUCAGAUGAGUUUAAUAUCUUGUCGUACAUGAUUAUUCCUACUUAGUAUGCAUGUAGAUUUAUAUGUACAUAUCUAUAUAUGUGAUUUUUCUGUGGUUGAGUCCUCUCUCGACUUUGUCAUUUUGUUUCAUUUGACUUUAUAGUAGUGUGGACUGUGAUAAACAGUCAUCUUUUAAAUCCUAUGAUUGUGUUUAUUUUUCUAACCUUAACAUAUUUUAUAUGAUAAAACAAGAAAGAAAGGAAGAAGGUGUGUGAGGUUGACAUCUUGAAAAAGGAUCUUGAGGCUAUUCGAGAGCAAAUUGAGAAGCUGGAAAGAAUGAAUAUGAGUUGCUGUGUGAAUUUUUCAAUGCCAUGGAGACCUCCAUUCGUUUACUUAGGCUAAAAGGGGCGUCGAUGCCUACCUUUUCCAACGUCUGCAACAUUUGACAGAAAGGCGUUUCACCUACACGCAUUUAGCACAGUUAAAAUACAUUCUACCUGAAGCUAUAAGUCUCAAGAAGAUUCUUGUUCAUGAUGAGCGUACUUACUGCAUGAAGCCAGAGCUUCAAGUUAAUUUGCAAGUUGAUGCUGUCGAAAAGAUCAUCAAGGGAAAAAGUGAAACUGGGUAUACAGUCUUAAGGACUGUUUUCAGAGAAAGGCUUCUUGGUUUCGUCAAUGAACAUCCAGAGGUAAUAGAACCAAGUUUGUCCCUUUCCUUCUGCUAAAUUUAGAUAUAUUUUUUUUUGUUUUCAAUUUUCAAUCAAGUGUUUAAGUUAAUAAAUGAUAAUCAUAGUGUUCAGUUCUUCCUUGAAUUUACAUGGUAUAGCACCCAAUGAUUAUAUUAUCUGUAUUGAGGAUUGUUCUAGAACCAUUUCUGUUUGUAAGUUUUGUACAUCAGGGAGAUGUGGUGCCAGAGGAGGUACAUCUGAUCCUUUGCUUCCUUCUUCCAGUAUUGUUGUUGCUGAGAUGUAGGAAGUGAUUUGUCGUGUUUGAUCCAGCUGUUCUACGAGUCCUUUGACGAGUCGUUUGAGGGCCGGUGGAUCGUUUUCGACAAGGCGGACUACCAAGAUGAGUCUGUGGACAAUGUCCACAGAUCUAGAAAUGAUGAACAAGAAGCAUGAGGGAUUAGGGAAUCUUCAAGCUCUGAUCCAUCAAUGGUUUGGGAUCAGCCGAAAUCUGGCCAUUUCCAACUAAACAAGGAGAUGAUUGAUACUUUGUUUGGCACAAAGACAACAAUGGCCACAAAGGGGAUUGCUGGUGGUCCAUUAGAUCCUUCCUUGGCCCAAGAAAGCAGGAUCCUUGAUCCUAACAAAUCUCAGAACAUUUCAAAUUUGCUAAAGGAUUUUAAUUUAACGAAAGAAAAUGUCUGUGAGGCUAUCUUAGAAGAAGAAUAGGACAUAUUGCUGGCAGAUUGUUCUAAUACAAGUUGCAUAACACAUAGUUUUCUAUCAAAGAAGUUGAGCAAGCAAGUAAAAAUUACUAGCAAAAGGUAAGAGAACUGGAGAAUCAAUUAAAUGGUGAGAGGACAACCAAGAAGGAUGUUGCAAAGUUCCCAAAGCCUCCAGUGGCUCCUUUAAGAUGGAGGUCUCCUUUACAAAGAAUCACCAAUCAGUUGUCACCCUCAGGACAUCAAACAAGCAGAGGUGCCCAUCCAGUAAUAGACAAAGAGAAUUGUCUUUUAACAAAUAAAACUACUAGGGAAGAUUUAGUUAAAUCUUUGCACAAAGCAAGAAGGAUAACGUUGGCACCAGUAAGAAGAAUAUUUGUGUACUA